AACGCACAUUGCGCCCCCUGGCAUUCCGGGGGGCAUGCCUGUUCGAGCGUCAUUACACCACUCAAGCCUGGCUUGGUAUUGGAGGUCGCGGUCCGCCGCGCCUCCUAAUGUCGCCGGCCGAGUCGUCUGUCUCCGAGCGUUGUGAAUCUUCAAUUCGCUUUCGAGUACAGGCGGCGCGCGCCGUUAAACCUCUUUUUCAGGUUGACCUCGGAUCAGGUAGGGAUACCCGCUGAACUUAA
This 239-nucleotide unclassified non-coding RNA is filed under the name Tylopilus sp. RNAcentral's name for it is "partial contains 5.8S ribosomal RNA, internal transcribed spacer 2, and large subunit ribosomal RNA". Lineage: Eukaryota; Fungi; Basidiomycota; Agaricomycetes; Boletales; Boletaceae. The record is from RNAcentral. RNAcentral also lists the same sequence under 3 other names.